RNA transcript from Meriones unguiculatus (Mongolian gerbil), 4187 nucleotides. It is a transcript of the gene named WD repeat domain 89, with no coding region annotated. The transcript is spliced from 3 exons. The record is from RefSeq and is a predicted model, not a curated record. NCBI's taxonomy places the organism in Eukaryota, Metazoa, Chordata, Mammalia, Rodentia, Muridae.
AACCUCCAGGUUCUGUAUCUGUUUUCUCCCCGAAGAGGGAGGGCUCCUGUCAUCUUCAGUCAUACCCACGCAGGAGCGAAGGCCGGCUACCGCUCUUUCAAACCGGCCUGCAUCGCUAGGCUUUGUGACCACGCGUGGCCCCCAAAUCCUGCCUCACUCCAGGAGAAGGCCCUCAGUCUGCGUAACAAUUUUCCACCCAACUCUGAGAAAGCGAAGGAAGUGUUAGAAGAACUGGCUGAGCCACUUCCGAAUGAAAAGGCGGAACCAGCGACGUUCUUGCCCUUUAUUGGCCACACGUUCAGGAAGCUGGGCCGUAAAGACUUCCGUUAACUUGACGUAGGGGGCGGUGUUGGUGAGACGCGUCCCGUGGGCUGAGCUACGCAUGCGCAUCCUCCCUACCCUCGUCCAAUCGGAAGGUUGCAAGCAAGACCGCACCGCUCCCGCCUUGGCGUCCGCAGGCCCGCCUCUUUGCUACGGACCAAUCCGCUCCAGCUUCCUCUCUAACGUUAUCCAAUCAGAGGCGGAGGGCGGAGUUCCGGCCGGCCGCGGGCAGAGCGUGGUUUUUCUUCCCACUCCAGUGUGGGUUGUACGGCUGAGCCACACCCUAUUUAUGUGGGCACCUCAAUCGGGACAGUUCUUCAGGUGAGGAUCCUGCUCAGGUGAUUCUGAUUUGGGCCAAGCUGACUUGAAAACCAAGCACAAUAAAGCCCCAGGAAUGGAAAUAGGAAGUUUUUCCCCCCAGCAGGCAGCAUGUCCCUGGUACCUGAAGAGGCUGAGAAGAGGGCACUGGACCCCUGGAACUGGAGUUACAAACGAUUGAGAGCUGCCAUGCUAGGAAUUGAACCUGGGUCCUCUGCAAGAGCAGCUGGUGCUUUUAACUCCUGAGCCAUCUCUCCAGCCCCCAAAUUUAAUUUUUAUUAAUACAAUUUAGUCCAAUUUCCUCUGCUUUAUGUCUUAAUAUUGUUUGUUCAAGUCCAAAGCUGUAGGGACAAUAGGAGAGCUUGCUCUCUGGAAGAGACUGUAGCCACUCUGGGUUUUCAUGAUCCUGUCUCUGUCCAUAUCCCCACUGGUCCGGAAGGCUCCAGCCAGCCUAUGUGCAGCAACCUGGUCAGCAAGGGCUCUUCCAUUCAGUGUGAUGCUGGCUUUGCUUCCACUGGCCUCCUCCAGCGUCUACAUUGCCUCUUGCUAGAGCUGGAGAGAAGUGAAAUGCUGGCCAGCCCCUUCAGUGGACUCUUUUGGCGCUAUCACCUAGACUCUGUGUGUUCCCAAGCUUUUCCGUUCUUCCUGGUUUCAUCCUCCUGAUGACAUCACAGCACCGGAGCUUUAGUCUGAAUGUGUCUCAGGCAUGGUGUCAUCGUUUUGGCAACACUCAUGCCACUGAAUGCCUCUUUGCCAUCUGUGCUACUUCCUGCCUGCUGGAACGAGAACUACAACCAUCCAAACUAUAUUCGGCAACAGGGUCUUGUGUUCGCGGGCUCAGCCAUUUAUUGAGCGCCUAUUAUAUGCUGGCCACCGCUUUAUUCACUGGAGCGUGGGUCCUUCUAGCUGUGUUCCCGUGACCCUGAUAUUGGGAGGAGGGGUUGUUAAAUGUGACGAACAGCUUGUUAACUGAGACUGGGAGGAAAUGGAAGCGUCUGCAGCUGCCAACGGUGUAAUUGAUGCAUCUUAAGUAAGAAGUUUAAACAUAUUUUAAUGGUUAUAAAUGAGCAUGACUGCUACUUUCAAUUUAAUUAGACGAGGAGGCAAUGUGUAGCCUGUUAACAUAUUGCAGGAGAGUCCAUGGGGAUGGGGCUAUUUGUCGGAAAGUGAACAUAAUUUCUCCAGAAAGCUAAAAAUAGAAUCACCACAUGAUUUGACAAUCCCAUAUUUGAGCAUCUAUCCAAAGGAAUCAGAAGCAAGAUCCUGAGGAGAUACUUACGCACGCGUGUUUGUGAUAGCAUGUUUUAUAGCUGCUAAGAGCUGGACGUGACCCAGUUGUCCGAGGAAAGGUGGAUGAAGAAACCAAAUGGAAUCUGUACAUACAGAUGAAUUAUUAUUUUGCAUUAAAAAAGAAGGAAAUUGAAGUAUACAGGUAGUCCAGCUACUUGAGACUAAAGCAGAAGAAUUGCUUGGAUCCCGGAGUUAAGAGCAAUAUCUUGGCUAUGUAGUGAGAUCCUGUAUCCAAAACAAGAUAAACACACAAAGAGGAAGUCCUGCCUUUCAGUACAAUAUGGAUAAAACUUGAGGCACACUGAAUGAAAACGUCUGGCAAGAAGACAAUAUUGUGUGAUUCCAUUCACAGUCAAUAUCAUGGAACCAAAUAGAAUGCUGGUUUUCAGGGUGGGGCUGGAGCAGGUCCAGAAAGUUCUGUUUAAUGGGUCUGGAGUUUCAGGUUUGUAAGAUGAAGUUGAUCUGCUUUACAACGUAAUUAAAAUAAAAAUGGCAAAGGGUCCAAUGUUUAGGAGGUAGAAGCAGGAAGAUUAGAAGUUCAAGACCCAAAAAAAAAAAAAAAAAAAAAGAAGUUCAAGACCCACUGCAGCUCACUAGCAAGUGAAGGCCAGCUUGGGAUAUGUGAGCUGCUUAAAAGAAAAAGGUUAACGUGUUCAAUUUUAUAUGCAUUUUAAAAUCUUAUUUAUUAGCUGGGUGGUGGUGGCGCAUGCCUGUGAUUCUAGCACUUGGGAGGCAGAGGCAGGUGGAUCUCUGUGAGUUUGCAGCCAGCCUGGUAUACAGAGUAAGCUCCAGGACAGCCAAGGCUACCCGGAGAAACCCUGUCUUAAAACAAACAAACAAACAAACAAACAAAAAUAUAUUUAUUUACAGUUCUGGGGACUGAACCCAGGGUUCUGUGCAUGCUAGGUAAGUGCUCUAUCACUGAGUUAUGUUCAUAGCUCUAUUUUUCCAACUAUGACUAAAAAUAAAAAUAUUUUUUGUAGAAUUUUAAAAAUAGAAUUAAAAAAAUAUUUGUAAAAAUAGAUUAUGCUAGAGGGCUGAGUUCGUAGCUCAGUUGGAAGAGUACUUGCCUAGCACGCACAAAGCUCUGGGUUUGGCCCCAGCAUGGACAAACUGGUCAUGGUGGUACAUACCUGUAAUGGCAGGACUUAAAAGGAGAGGCCGCAAGGUCAGAAGUGUAAGGUCGUCUUUGGCUACGUCUUAUAACGGCAGCCUCAGAUACAUUAGACCUCUCUCCAAAACAAACGAACAAACAUGGAAACUAAUGUGCUUAUUCCAGAAAGAGCGGUGAAUGGGGUCAACUAGAAGUUCAAGCAGCCAACCUGACAAUUUCUAGUUGUGUAGUCUUCGUUUGAUCUCUAAGCCUCUGACUCUUGUCCUGACACAGACAACAUCAUGAACAAAGAUGACUAGGAAAAAAUAUCAAUAAAGAAAGCUUAAGUGCUGGGUGCAGAGGCUUGUAAUCCCAGCACUCAGGGAGGCAGAGGCGCGCAGAUCUCUGUGAGUUCGAGGCCAGCCUGGUCUGCAAUGCAUGUCCAGGACAGCCAAGGCCACGCAGAAAAAAAACUCUGUCUUGGGAGAAAAAGAAAAAAAAAAAAAAAGAAAGAAAGAAAGAAAAGAAAAAAAGCAAGCUUAUGGUAUGCAGGAGGAUACUAGCCCAUUUUGCAUGGGGAUUCUGAUAUAUGAUUCAGGGCAGACAUCAGCAGCAGACUGAGGCUAUGGGAUUUCAUAUAGUAAGGAGUUCAAAAUAUGAGUACAUUAGUUAAAUGUACAUUCAGACCAAAAUCAUUUGUGGCACUAGGGCAAUUACAGUAAAAUCCCGGUGGGUUAUUGAAGUGAACUCCAUAAAACGAUACUGAAAUUCAGCUAAAUGGAUCAUCAAGUGAGAAGAAGAAGAAGAGGAGGAGGAGGAGGAGGAGGAGGAAGAAGAGGAAAAGAAGAAGAAGAAGAAGGUUGAAAAGUGUGGAAUGAAGGAUUUACUUUGUCAAUGAAUGGCAGGCAGUGUGACAACCGAUUAUAAAAUAUCAUUUCAGAUUCCUUAGCACACAACGUAUUUCAAAAUUAACUCAAUAUAGAUUAGAAUUUAAGAAAAAACCCAAUAAAAUAAAAUUAGAAAAUAAUAUAGCUGUAUGUCUACUUUCUGUGUGUGUAAACUUUAGUUUUUUAAAAAAAUUAUAGAGUAAUAGAGUCUCAGGGCUGGAAAGAGGGCUCAGUGCUUAAGAAUAAGUAUUGCUCUUGCAGAGGGAUCUGAGUUCUCU